This 15303-nucleotide long non-coding RNA is filed under the name Pelobates cultripes (western spadefoot toad). The record is from RNAcentral. Lineage: Eukaryota; Metazoa; Chordata; Amphibia; Anura; Pelobatidae.
CAGACACUGACAUUUAUACAGCCACAGGACGUGCACAGAUAGAAUAUCCAUCUAUUCCGAUCAAGGAGGAACCAGCCUCGUGUGACGAAGGAAGUCUAUCAGACACUGACAUUUAUACAGCCACAGGAUGUUCACAAAUUGAAUAUCCAUCUAUUCCGAUCAAGGAGGAACCAGCCUCGGGUGAAGAAGGAAGUCUAUCAGACACUGAUAUUUAUACAGCCACAGGACGUGCACAGAUAGAAUAUCCAUCUAUUCAGAUCAAGGAGGAACCAGCCUCGGGUGAAGAAGGAAGUCUAUCAGACACUGACAUUUAUACAAACACAGAACGUACACAGACUCAAUAUCCAUCUACUUAUAUUAAGGAGGAAUCACCGGUGUGUGAAGGUGGACGUAUAACAAAUGUUAAUACCUAUACACCCGCAGAAUGUAAACCUCCAAUCAAGGAAGAAUCUUUUUUAUGUAAAAAAGAUAUUUGCACAGACAGUUCUGAACCCCUGGAACUCACAGACACAGGAUACACACUCCUUGUUAUAAAGGAUGAACUAAUCUCACAGGAAGAAGAAGAUAUUACACCCAUAGCAAAUAACUUGAUAGAUUCAGAGGCAACCUCAUCUGAGAAAAGGGAUUUCAUAGAUGGUUGUAUUGCUACAGAAUAUGCAUCAACGGGAAGUAAAUCCACACAUGCCAACGGAUUCUAUAAUGAAGGUAAUAACAUUCAAAAAACAAAUAGAUUAACCCCGAUGCAGAACAAUGAAUAUAGUAACAAUAAUAAUAACAAUUUGCCUAAGCGGAAGAAACCAUUUUCAUGUCCAGAAUGUGGAAAAUGUUUCACUUGUAAAUCAAAUCUUGGCACACAUAUAAGAAUUCAUAAAGGUGAUAAACCAUUCUCCUGCUCUAAAUGUGGAAAACGGUUUACUCAGAGCUCUGCACUUUUUGCGCAUCAGAGAAUUCAUACCGGGGAGAAACCAUUUUCAUGCACUGAAUGUGGAAAAAGAUUUACGAAGAAUACAAAUCUUGUUACCCAUCAGAGGAUCCACACAGGAGAGAAGCCAUUCAGAUGUUCUGAAUGUGGGAAAUGUUUUACUCGGAAAUUCUCUCUAGUUGCACACCAGAGGACUCACAAUGGAGAGAAACCAUUUUCUUGUUCCGAAUGUGGGAAAUGUUUUACAGGUCGAACAGCUCUUGUUACACAUAAACGAAUUCACACAGGAGAAAAACCAUUCUUGUGUUCUAAAUGUGGGAAGUGCUUCACGCAACGUUCUGCUCUCGCUACGCAUCAAGUCUUACAUGUGAGAGACGCUAUUCAACUUUUAUAACUGGGGCAAAUGUGUAAAAUAAUAUGUAAACAAAUGUGUUAACAUGCACAAAACAGAGGUCAAUUUAUAUUCUGAGUAAGUUUACUAAUUUGUUUUAAUACAUUAUUGUUAUUUAUAUAGCGCCAUCAAAUUCUGCAGCGCUUUACAAUGGGUGGACGAACAGACAUGUAGUUCUAACCAGAAAAGUUGGACACACAAGAACAGAGGGGUUGAGGGCCCUGCACAAUGAGCUUACAUGCUAGAGGGCAGUGGCGCACAUACUGGGGUCGCAGGAGUCGCGGCUGCGACCGGGCCCGGCCCACCAGGGUGCCCGGCCGCCCCGCGACCCGGUAUGUACCCAGUGUGGUCAGCCUCAAGGCCCCCCUCUUCCCUGAGGGCUCUCUGCCCAGUUCCCUCGCGCACUGCACUGAUGCCGAAGCCAGAAGAUGACGUCAUAUUCUGGCUCCGGCAUCAGUACGCGGCGCGAGGGAGCUGGGCAGAGAGCACUCAGGGGAGAGUGCUCCCUCGCCCGCCCGCCAACCUGCCCGGUGACCGGCCGCCCAGGAGUACCACUGGACCCCAGGGAAUCCCCUCAGCACUCCCAAAGGUAGGGAGGCUGGGGGAUUAAAUUUUUUUUAAAAAGUGUGUGUGUUAGAGUGUGUGUUUUAGAGUGUGUUAGUGUUAGAGUGUGUGUGUGUGUUAGUGUUAGAGUGUGUGUUAGUGUUAGAGUGUGUGUGUUAGUGUUAGUUUUUUGUCAGUGUGUGUGUUAGUUUGUGUGUGUCAGUGAGUGUAUUACUGUGUGUGUGUGUUACUGAGUGUGUUAGUUUGUGUGCGUCUGUUAGUGAGUCUGUUUGGUGUCUGUUAGUGAGUGUGUGUUUUGUAAGUGAGUGUGUAUGUGUCUGUCUGUCAGUGAGUGUGUAUGUAUGUCUGUCACUGAGUGUGUGUCUGUCAGUAAAUGUGUGUGUCUGUUAGCUAGUGUGUAUGCGUCUGUUCGUGAGAGUGCGUGUGUGUGUCUGUUAUCUAGUGUGUAUGCGUCUGCUCGUGAGAGUGUGUGUGUGUCUUCAGCACUUACCUUUCUCCAGCGCCGGACUCCCUUGGCGCUGGGGAUCCCUCUGCCCCGAUCCCCUCUCAGCUCCAAAUGCGCAUGCGCGGCAAGAGCCGCGCGCGCAUUCAAACCGCCAAUAGGAAAGCAUCACUCAAUGCGGAAGCUCCUCUAGCGGCUGUCAAUGAGCCAGCCACUAGAGGCUGGAUUAACACUCAGUGAAACAUAGCAGUUUCUCUGAAACUGCUAUGUUUUCAGUGUGGCGGAACCAACCUCGCCACUAUGCACUGGAGAAGCCUGGUUGCCCGCCUGCUGCCUUUAGACUAUGGCCCCUGGGAGACUGUGAAAACUUAUGGACUUUUAUUGGGUGUGUAUGGCCCUUUAAGACAGUCGGUGGGCAUAUUGGGGCUUAUGGACUUUUUAUGGGACUGGUGCUGGCCCUUUAAGCACCUUUUUGGGGCAUAGGGAAGAUUGGGACACUGCCCCUUUAAGAUGGUGUCCCCAGACUUGUUUGGGACACUGCCCCUUUAAGACAGUGUCCCCUGUGCCCCAGACCUGGUUAAAACCCUUUGUGCCUAGCUAUUUCCCACUUGGUUCAGUAAAUGGGGCUUACUGAACCAAGUACCACACAGGCGGACCACCUGUAUUGGGAGUCUGUCGGCAAUUUACCUCCCAGAAGUUGCAGUUAACCGCAGCUUAAUUGACAAUGCUGGGUGGCCUUUGUUUGUUUGCCGAACACGUGGCGGCGGCCAUCUUUGUUCAUUCGCACGAGGUCAGCGGUAUGUGUAGCCAAAUUCAUGGAACUAAAAUCGGCUACACAUUUCCGCGAACACCGCUGAGCCCUACCUUCUCCCACAACGAUUUUGCAGCCGCAGAGACUAAGUCCCAUUCUGCGAUGGGACUUAGUUGUUUUUUCAGCCUGAAAUAGAGCGACCUCACAGCCCAAAUCUAUGGAACUGUUUUGGGCAGGAAAAUGUGCUUGCGGUCGGUCAUAAUGGGACCUCCAGCUAACUUUUUAACCCCUGGAUGGAUUUGGCUGAUUUUUGGUUAUAUAUAUAUAUUUGAAGGUUGCUGAUUCUAAACGGCGGUUUAACCCUUUUAUGCCUGGGGUGCCGUUACAUUCAGCUACAGGGUUAAAACUAGAGGGACCUGGCACCCAGACCACUUCAUUGAGUUGAUGUGAUCUGAGUGUCUGUAGUGGUCCUUUAAGUGUAUGUGUAUCUGCAUGCACUGGCCUACAUACCACGGUCACAGGGGUCGCAGGGCAGAGUAAGUUUUCGCACUGGGGUGCCUCAUGGGUUGUGUGUACGUUACUGCAAGAGGGAGUGGGGUAAACUUACACAAAAAGGUAAGGAUAGUAUUAGACUAGUGACAGUUGCAGAAGAGGAAUCAGUCGGGAGCUAGUAACAGUUUAAUUGAUACGCUUUUAUGAAGAAGUGGGUUUUAACGAUUUUUUGAAGGAGUGGAGACUGGGUGAGCAUCUAACGGAGGAGGGAAGAGAGUUCCACAGGAACGGUGCAGCCCUCGAGAAAUCUUGAAGGCGAGUAUCAGAGGAAGCUCACUUAGUUGCACCUGAAACUAGUAGCUGCCUUGGAUCAUUAUCCUUUCCAAGAAUCCUGGGUUACGGUUUUGAAGGCUGUAUGUACAGAGCCCCGUAUCAGUUCUAAAUGGCUUUCUCACUGUUAAGCAGAGAUUCUCAGUCCCUUGCUUUGAUCAUAAAAUGGUGGAGGCACGCUCUAAUUCACACCAUACCAAGUGGAUGGGCUGAGAGCAUCACCUUAACACUGAAACCUUGCUCCAACGCUGCCAUAUUGUAAUUGGAGGCCGAGUCAUUAUUUAGCAAUGAUGGGGGACCUGGCACACAUGAAUGUGAGAUACAAUAACCACUUCAAUCAGUCGAAAUGGUUAUGUUGCCUACAGAACUACUUUGCGUUUAGUUGCCCAGAAGAGAUUAGUUGCCCACUAACCGCUGAAUGGCAGUGAACUAAAAUCUGAAUAGGAAAACUAAUUAAAAUAGGCAAACUGUGCCUAUAAGAUAGUUGGGGAAUUUCUCCUGAUUAGCUGCUUUUAAAUUUAGAAUUUAGAGAAUAAACCCACCUAAAUCAUCAGUGUUACUGUGCAGUGGCAUAUUCAUUCAUCAUUCAAAAAUUAAUUUAGGAAAACACUCCAAGCACCUUAAAUACUCCAGAGCACUGUAGUGGCUAGGGUGCCACGAGUUCCCUUGAGGUCCCCUUACGUAAGUUGACAAACCAUUUGAUGUCUGACCUAGAGUGCUGCUUCCUGCCUCUUCCUUGUGGUAUUGAGAACCAGAAGCUCCUGCUUGGAGCUCCUGUACUUUGUCAUAAUUAACUAGCAACUUAGUCAGCUUUAAAGGCAAAAUGAGGUGAACUGUAUCUCGAGAAUGGUGGGUUACAUUUUGUUUGUGACUUUAGGAAAAUCGUCUGAAAUGGCCAGCAACUAAGACAUGUUUUAUUUUGCUGUUUGGAGAAAUUUACAGCAGGUAUCUGGUUGUUUGGUUAGGUGCUCUUUAUUACUUAUCAGAUAUGGCCCAAGCUGUCAGAAAGAGCUUGAGAAACAUCACUCUUGCGAUAUACAUUACAUGUUAAAUGAAGAGUCAUUCACGUCAAGUUCUGGAAGUGAUUUUAGAUGUAAUUUUCUUUUGAGUACAUUAUAUAUGAUAUAUAUAGCAUGUUUGUCACAAAUGAAUUGUCUGGAUUUACUAAGAUGAUCUGGUAUGGUUACAAAGACAUUAGGAGUAUCUGUACAUAAAUAUGUAGCACUGUACAUUUUCAUCCAGGUUUGGAAUACAAUAUUACCAUGAAAAAAAAUCCCUUAAGGGAGUAGAUGGCGUACUGGAAAGAUCUCUAGUGGGGAUAACCCACAAACAAACUACAUAGACAUUGAUAGUCUGAUGUACCAAACGAUAUAUAAGAUAUGGUCAUAUAUAUCUUUUGGUAUAUUAGACUAUCAGUGUCUUUGGAAAACAAUAUUCCUGCUCCACCCACGGCCCCUCCUUAGGAGUGCCACCCAAAAACACAAGAUGAGCCAAAAAGUGUAUAGAAUCUCAGAUGAAACCAAAAAAAAUUGUAAUCCAUUUUGAGAGCCACAUUAAAUUUGCAGUGGAUUACCAUUUUCUUACCAAAAGCUCUCUUUAAGACAGAAAUACUGGUACUUUGCUAGUAUGUAGGUAUUAAGGUUUUCUGUUCAUUUUUUCUUUUGUUUGUGUUGUGUAAUUUUUUUGUAAUGUUUUUAUUUGUAUGCACUGUAACAAAUUCAUAAUCAAUGUUCCUUUAUUAAGUUCUGCCUUUGUCUGGUAUAAGACUUACAUUACUGAAUUGACAUGGAUAUAGUACUGUGAUUUCAUAGACAUUUUUGGUUAAAUUAUGUUUGUGGCAAACCUAGCCACUUGGACAAUAUACAGAGACUAUGGCUUUAAGGGUUGCCUGUAUGGUUUUGGUGAGUAAUGUAAUGUGAUUGUAUAAUAUUGUAUUGCCUGCAUUGGCUAUCUGUCGAAAGCAGAUAGCUGUAUUUCAUUUCGUUUCACGAACAGCACCUUUGCGGGCUGUUCGUGAACCGAAUAGACCAACCUGUAAUAUCCCACACAUUAAGAGACGUGUGGCGCUUGUUAACCGAUUGCAACAAUGUUGCAAUCGUUAAUUAGAGGCUGUCCUAGGUGGCCGUCGUUCGGCUACCAACCACGCGGCGGUCGGCCAUCUUGGAUCCUUUGUUCAUCCAGCAGUGUUCGGUCGUCGAGCGCGUGGUACUGAAAACGGCUACUCGACGGUGCGAACCCCACUGGACUUCCAGGCCGUUCGGGAGUUACGGGACUUUCGGUAAUUUACUCCCUGUAUGUCAAUCAGUCGUUUGAACGUAAAUGUUGGUGAAUACGUUUUUCGUGCGGCGUUCGGUUGUUUUAGCUGGGAUCUGAGCGGUAAUCUCACGAAUUGUGUGCGCAGACCCCAGUUAUCUACCGAACGUCCAUUCGUGAAAAUCACCCCAAUAUUGGGGAAGUUAUAAAUUUUUAUGUGAAUUGUCGGUUCUGCUGCACGGAGGGAUAAUUCACUUAACUGUACAAUCCAGUGGGAGUGUCCCUCUCGUGCAGCAGUGCCUGAUGGGAGAACGGCUCUGUACAUUAUGUACAUUCCUAUUUAGUCCACUCCUGUAAUACCCCUGUGAUGUGACUCAGGAAACCUCUUGCAUGGGGAAUUGUAUAAAUUCUGGAGCCUGUGAAUAAAGCCUCAGUUGACUCCCAGAACUGGGUUUCGACCGGUUACUGGGGGAUUUGGGAUAUUGUCUUACUUUUCAGCGCUGACUGUGGAUUACUGUAUGUACCAGCGGAAUUCGUGGGUUUUAAUAUUGCCGGUCCGCUACAGUGUUUUGUCAAUUUUUCAUCUAAUCUGGACCAACGACUCCCCAUUUUACAAUUUCCCAGUGGUGGCAGGUUUUAUAACCCUGCUCCCUUUUUUUCUCAAAGCAUCUGGAAAGACUUGUCUUUACCCAUCUGACUUGCUUCCUCAAUUCCAACUCUCUCCUUGACCCUCUUCCGUCUGGAUUCCGCCCCCUGAUUAAAGUUAAAAAUGAUCUAAUUGGGGGGCGUGUCUGGCACCUGGAGAACACAGCCGCUUAAUCACUGAGCUCCCCGCUUGGGGAAGGGGACUAACUGCACAACGCUCCUAGUAAUCAAAAGGUGGUAUGCCAUACAGAUAGCAAGCUUGCUCUACGUACCACAUGGGAGGAACCCAACCACUUUGGGGUGGGAGAAUGGGAUGCAGGACAUGCUUUUACAGCAAUGGUGGACUCGGGGACCAUAUGGGGAUCUAUAUGUACCCUUACUCCCACCCACACCCUAGACGGCGAGACCACUAUCCCUAACCAAAAAAACAUAUAUACAUAUACCUAGCAGUUAGAUAAUAGGUUGGGGGAUUGUACCUAGCUCCGAGAGGGGAGACACUACACAUGGCCACUCGCCCCUCACCUCACCAGGUCACUAUGAUACCAAGGGCAGGCCAGGGGGAAACUGGCACAGAGAGGCACAAGCUGAAUCAUUGUCUUUAGCAAUCGGCUAAUACGCCGCAAAGGUUGAUGUCAAAUUGCCACCAACACUGUACACAAUGAACCAGGACUGAAUGCUUGCAUGACACGCCAUCACUUUGUUAUGCACCUGCACAACAGACUCCCUUAUUGCAAAGCAACUAGAACUGGGGGGAAAGAGGUACAACCCAACGUUACAGAGAGAUAGGCUAGGAUUCCCAAACCUGGAACCCCGCCCACUGCGCAGCCAGCCCGUGGACAAACGCCUAUACUGAGAUAAACACCCCUGGGAUCCCCAGAUUUAGUGGACCCCCCCGGGGCCCACUUCGGCCCUCACCACUCAACCCACCUAUCCAUAUAACUGAGCUAGAGCUCGCUACCCAGACCAAACAAACAGACACAUUUUAAAACCCCAUCGUCCAUCACAGGAGUACCCCGAGAGUUAGACACAGAAACCGCCGAGGCAGGCAGAACCACGUCCGAAUAGACCCAUCCACAGCUAUAAGAAUGACCACUCACAACAGACAACCCACACAUGCACCGCAGCGAGAGGUGUAGCAGACACACUGGAUCCCAAGGCCACAUUGGAGACAGGUACUCCCAUACCACACUAAUAUAGAGACACACUAAUAUAACGCACCCCUACUAAAUAGUAGGUAGAGCGAGAUGCUAUAAGGCAGGACUCACCACCCUAGACUGGCAACCCGCUGCCCCCACAGGGACAGGACAUAGCUAUCCCCCACUAGGGGGGUGAGACUCCAACCCCGGAGUAGACCCAGCUGGAGCGAGGAGCCUGACUACCAGGAAACUUGUACGUUAACCUAUACCCGAUCCGGGUUCAGACAGAGCAGCACGAACCACUGUCGGCUUGGUUCCGCACCCAGAUACAGCCACAGCAAUGACACAUUGCACACAUAUAAUCACCCCAUAGCCAUACAACCCCCCCUCCCACCUCAGACCGCACAGCCCUCUCUGGUCGCUCCCCGGGGUAGUGCCGAUUCGCCCGGGAGGAUCUGUCAAUCAUCUCAUACAACGUCAAUGGCCUAAACAUCCGGGAGAAGCGCUCCAGACUCCUAUGGUACCUUAAACACUUCCAUAGCGUUCCUCCAGGAAACACACUUCCAAGAAGGACGAGCGCCGGUCCUGAAAGAUCGCAACUUUCAGACGGGAUACUUUAGCAAUAACUCAGACCAACGCACACUAGGGAUAGGCAUCCUAUUCUCUACACGGAUCCCAUACAUAGAACACACCACCAUCAGCUGCAAACAAGGCAGAUAUGUCUUCACAAAAGGCACCAUCCUGGAUCAGACCUACACCUUCGCCAAUCUUUAUGCCGCAAACUCGGAACAACACCGCUUCCUCUGCAGCGUGCUUAAUACACUGAUGAAAUUCACGGAAGGCACCCUGAUCAUCGGGGGAGACCUGAACUUGGCUCUACAUCCCAAGCAAGACUCGACAGCCAGGCAAGGAAACACACCCAACAACAGAAAUGCCAAUACGCUCCGCCUCCUCCACCACCACCAACUCGCGGAAUGUUGGCGAGCGCUACACGCAUCGGCUCGCAACUACACCUUCUACUCCACGACACACUCCUCAUCCACCAGACUAGACUACUUCCUCGUGCCCCACCACAACCUCAUUCUACUUAAAGACUCAGAAAUCCUACCCAUGACAUGGUCAGACCACUGCCCAAUCCGCAUACGAAUAAAGUCACCCCUGUUCCGACCCAGAUGAACCUCUUGGAGACUGAAUGAGUCGAUCCUCUCGGAUGCACUGGAAGUGGACAAGACCAGACAGUCCAUUCAAGAAUAUUGCACAGACAACGAAUUAGGAGAUAUUUCGCCCUUGAUGUGCUGGGAGGCACACAAGGAGGUGAUCCGGGGACAACUUAUCACAAUAUGCUCCACCCGUAAGCGGGAAGCAAUACAGGCAACAACGGACCUCAGCAGGGAGAUUGCAACCCUGUAAACCAGACAGAAACGCACCUUGGACGCGAUGAUUUACAGAGACCUGGUCAUCAAACGGAAUCAACUCACCACACUCCUGAACUGCUCGAUACAAAGCUCAUACCAACACUUCAAGCACAUAAUACACGAGCACGUGAACAAAUGCGGGAGAUUACUGCCGAAUCUCCUAAAACAACGCAAGUCCCAACUGUACACCAGGCUCGAAGAGAUCCAGAGAUACCUGGAAUCCGCGAACGUGACCAGGCUCAAAGACACUGACCGGGAAGGACUGGAAGUGCCCAUCUCUACCGAGGAACUGAUGCAUGCUAUCAAAAGAGCAAAGACGGGCAGGGCACCAGGCCCAGAUGGCUUUCCCCUCUCAUACUACAAGACCUUCCCCCAAGACCUCCUCCCCAAACUGCAAACAGCCCUCAAUUCUAUCCUGGAAGGGGCCACACCAACAGCCCAGUUCACAUUGGCGAAUAUCACCCUUCUCCCCAAGGAAGGAAAGGACCCAACACAAUGCCCAAGCUACCCCCAAUCUCCGUGCUGAACACUGAUCUCAAACUCCUGGUCAGUGUCCUGGCGGCGUGCCUAGCACCACUGCUACCAAAGACAGUGCACCCGGACCAAACGGCAUUCAUCCCAGGGAGAGAGGUAUGGGACAACACCAUCAGAGCCCUGAACAUCAUAGCCCAGUCCAGAUCGAUGAAGACCUCAGUCCUUCUCCUGUCCACAGACGCAGAAAAAGCGUUCGACAGGGUGGACUGGGACCUGAUGUUUGGUGCACUUCGGAACCUCGGCAUUGGACCAAAAUACCUCGCCUGGGUAAAGGCACUAUACACACACCCAACCGCCGCAUUGGGAUCAACGGAGCACUGACUGACCCGUUCCAGAUCCAUAAUGGAACCAGGCAGGGCUGCCCGCUAUCGCAGCUGCUCUUUGCACUGACCUUAGAACCCUUCCUUAACAAAAUCAGACAUAACAACAUACAAGGGAUGAAAAUCGAAAGACCCACCACAAAACCUUGGCCUACGCAGACGACCUCCUAUUUAUAGUCACGGCCCCUGGUGCCUCUUUAUGGGCUAUCUUGUCGGAAUUCGAGUCCUACGGCCAGGUUUCGAACCGCCAAAUUAAUUACUCGAAGUCAGAAAUACUGGGUUUCUCCAUCAAUAAUACGCUCAGACAGACGCUCCAGUGUCAAUACCCAUACCGCUGGUGCGACCAAUGCAUGAGAUACCUGGGGUUCUGGCUUACACCAAACCCGGCAGACCUUUACACCCACAACUACCUCCCUACACUGAAAAAGGCGAUAGAAGAACUACGCACGUGGAAUUCAUACUACAUCUCCUGGCUGGGCAGGGUGAAUGCAGUCAAGAUGACGCUGCUGCCUAAACUCCUCUUCAUAUUCCAGAGAGUGCCGAUCCUGCCCCAGACUCAUUCUUCUCCACCCUGAAGACAGAGGUCCGCAAAUUUGUAUGGAAAGGCAGGUCCCCACGCAUAGCACAUUCCCAACUGACGCUGCCUAAACCCGGGGAGGCCUAGCGCUCCCUGACUUAGAGAAGUACUACGACGCGGCACACCUUACCAGGGUCAUAAGCUGGUCAGCGAAUAAACAAGAAUGGAAUACAGCUGAAAACAAAAAAAUACAUAACACAUAGUGAAGUACAAUUAGAGCAAUUGGAUAUAACCCCCAAUGGUUGCACUCACGAAAUAAUGUAGAGUAGUGCUGGUCAGUAGAGGGCAGCACGAUACUAUGGACCCAGCUGGAAUCAGAUAUCACCAACUGUGACUUAAGGACCUUGCCGUGGAUCACCAAAGCCACAUACAGACACAAACAUGUACUUAACCCAUUCGUAACAACAACCAUGCAGAUCUGGCACAGACAAGGCACGAAACAAUACUUAACAACAGACCCAGGCCCACUACUUCCAUUGAGAAGCAACCCAGAUUUCCUGGCGGGGGACCAGGGCCCAAUCCUGGGCCUGGCCAGGUACAUACCAACCCUGCGCAUAAAAGACAUAAUUCAGCACCCGUUCGCCAUCCGCCCGAUGACCGAACUCUUUCCUGACCAACCUCACACGUGCGCUGUGCACACAAGACCAAGAACCAACCCGGGCCAUAUCACAGAUAUAUUGGGCCAUCAUAACGAACAGAAACCUACUGGCACCCACAUGCAUCAGACACUGGGAGGAGGACCUGGAUGAGCCCAUGACAGGCUUCUCAACACAGCCAUGGCAACCAUCCCCAUCUUCUGGAGACAGACGUGUAUGCCGCCCGUGAGACGAUGGGUGGAGGAGGUGGAGGACAUGAGGAGGUUCGAGGACAUGAAAGCGACCACCCCAAAACACAGAGACAACUACAUAAAACGCUGGUUCCACUGGACACGCAGCCUCACCUUGGACGACUUUUUACAACACAUCACUGAACCAUGAGCAGGAACGCAAGGGGAGACGAGGCGGGGCCCCCGGGAAUGGCGGACUGGAGUGUCAGGGGUCGGCGCAGCCCCGCCGACCCACGAGACCCCCCCCCUCCACUCCUCACCCCGCACGGAACACCACAUACAGAUCAAGGACCACGAACACCAACAAUGACCUGGACACAUCAACAUACUACCCUAAUUGCACACAAACAGAACCCGGGGCACUGAGCCAGGGGACCACACACCGCCAAAUGACACCAAACACGCCACCACUACCACGAAACGUAAAAUCAAGACUCAUGGACACCCACGACACCACACACAACCCAAUCACUACCUAAAAAUACGAUCCAGAUAGGGUAGCCCACAUAACCACAAUAAACCGGGAUGGAACAAGGCUCAGUGGGUCAUAGAGAAGCGCCCCAUUUUAUAGACCAGGGGGAACCAACACAAAAUAAACCCACCCCAGCUACUCUGACUCCUCACACUGGGGAAAAGCAGACAUACGACAAGCAAACAGGCAACUACAACACCACCAGUAGGACUACACCCACACCGAGACACUCGACUAACUACCAGCCGACAUUAACCAUAGCCACCGAGUCACGGACAAACAGAGAAUACACAUAAACAUAUGAGCACCAGCCAACUACAAUGCACCCUAUAUAAGAACUCACAGAUAUGACCACAAAACCCGCAUGCCAUAUGAUAAGUACCCACCAGCAGGGCUCUGACCCGACAUGCUGUAGGUGCCGACAACCACAGAUACUGAGUUAACUAAACCGACAAGCAACACACCAGGACAUACAGCGCGGCAACAACUCAGAUCGCCCGGGCUAACCCUGACGAAGAAUCACCUUAGAAGGUAACAGCACCCUAGAUGACCCAACUACACACACGGGUCACCCCUCAACAAGAUCAAGCUCAUAUGACCAAGCACCCAACGACUAGAACACUCUGAGCUCACACACUUAACACUAUAACCCAUUCGCACGCCACGCGCUGAACUAUACACGGUGUCACGUGCGUGGGCUAUAGGCCCAGCCGAGGUAGUGGGGAGAGUGUGGAAGUGACAGGGUUAAUGACACCAGACACAAGCAACCACUCAAUUAACCCCUGCAAUCCCUUCUACACUAACACCCUUAGUACAUACUCUACUGCCACCACCAAGACUUUUAAACCCGGGCGUCUUAGGUUACCCCACACACAGGAGAAUUAUAGAAUCACAGUUCUACUUUUACUGAUAAAACAUAUAUAGUUAACCCUUUUUGGUAAUGUGUUUACCUGAGCUUUUCUCUGGAGAGUGAAGCUCAUAGAGAACAGAGACACAAGCUGAUUAAGUAAACAUUUAAUCUGACAAAAAGGAUUCACAGUGCUGAGUACAAAAUACAGAAAUAAAUGACAUACAGAUAACAAAUUGCAAAACAGUACAUAAAAUAAAAUAGGAGAAAACACAAGAAAUUCCUUACAUAUAUUUACACCAUAUAGAAUUCUUGUGGGAGUCUUAGAUGGUAUAGGUCUCCUAGAAGUUACUGACAAAAGAAAAAUGAAUAACUGACUUCCCUGGAUAGUCCAACACCCUCAUAUAUCUAAACUAGUUCUUUCUCAGUGGGCAGACCCCUGGGGGGGGAUCAGAGGGGGCUGGUCUGGCAGUCUAUUGCCCACUCUAUGAAAUUCCUUGUGUCCAGCUCUGGUGAUGGCUAUCUAGAUGUUUUAUGGUCUAGGCCUGGUGCAAGAUCAAAGACCACAAUAAAUGUCAUCCCAAGGUUUACAAAAAAAACAACUCUUAACAUAUAUAAACACACAUCAAACACCAACUCAUGCUUUUGGCAUGACACACGGUUACAUACGUUUUGUUCCUUUUAGUUAGUAGAAAUAGACCUCCAUCGAAAGCAACCAGGUUAUUGCACGGGUAACACAUACAACUCUAUGGAAAUGCAAAGUAAUGCCUUAUAUAGCCACUGUAUAGGCACAUAUGCUAAUGCCCUUGCUAAACGAGCAGAGCCUCUGCGUAGGCAAUGAUGCAGAAACAGUUUGAACAUGUUAUGUGUGCGCUAAAACUAUGCCUACAAAAUAAAAACCAUUUAACACAAAUGAUCUAAUUGCGGCUAAAUCCAAAGGCCACUACUCUAUACUAAUCCUUGUUGACCUCUCUGCUGCAUAUGACACUGUAGAUCAUAGCCUCCUUCUCCCAACCCUGCAAUCUCCUGGUCUCUGUGACACAGCCCUCUCGUGGUUCUCCUCCAUUCUCCUUAAACCCAUGUUUAUUAGUAUAACAUCCACUAAUAUCCAAAGCCAUGUUUAGCUCAAACAUAUGAGUAUACUUGAAGGAUGUGUGUUUCACGAAGGCCAUCAUCCUUGCUCCCAUCCAGAAAUGAGAAAAGAAGCAGUCAUGGUUGUAUUUCUUCUAUCAGCAGAAGACAGACAGCAAGGAGUUGCCAAAACUUGGAAUUACACCCAUUAAGUAUAGUUAAUAAUUUAGAACGUUAUCUUUACUGUUGUAAUGUUUCAGGUAGAAAACUGUCUAGUGUCAGCCAUGAAAAGUAGGCAAUGUCUUUGUCUUUGCUUCUUAUUAUAAUACGAGUUAAUUCACAUGUAGUGCUAAAGACCAUGCCUUUCUGGAACACAAUGCGUAGGGAGCACGAGUGAUGUGGAAGGUGGCAUAGACACUUUGAUAACCACUGUUCUAUAGUUACCUUCACAGCAGAAACAAGAACUGAUGGCGAUGACCAAGUCAAUUGUCAGGUUUCAAAACUGACAUGUAAGACUUUUUCGUUUAUUACUGGCCCUUUAAGUGAACUUCAUGAUUUUCUCCUCUAGUGGCCUCCCUAGCCACUAAUCUAUUAACUCACCUUAAUAACCUCACCUGGAUUAACUAAUUAGGAGGCUUGACAUUGAAAGUCUAUGCUCUGAUAAAGAAUCUCUGUUCCUGGUAAUAUCCUGUAUUUUAUCUACAUUAUUUCAUUCUGCAUUUCCUCAUACUGAAGGGCACUAACCUGCAUUACUUCAUUCUGAACUUGCCUGAAUUACAUCUUACUGAAAGACUUUCCUUAUCAGCUUCCAAGAAUCCUGAUUUGUGGCGUAUUGCCUUCAUUAAGGAAUCUUAACUGCUUCAAUUGCUGCAUCACUGCAUGAUCUCGUAAGCAACCUGCAUUAUAUUAUUUUGGAAUAUACCUACCUGUUUCAACCUCUGCAACUCUGCAUGAUCCUGUAUUGUCUUAUCCUAAAAGGUAUUUACCUAUAACUAGCUGCAUUGCAAAGUAUCCUGGAAAUCCUUAACUACUUGGUAUAACUUCAAGCCUGCUUGUAUACAAAAUACUUUAUUCAUUUACUUUCUAAAGAUCUUGUUUGUGGCAUAUCGCCUAAACCCUGUUUUUUCUCACAAAGUAUCCUGUUUGUGGCAAACUGCCCUUUAUUCUUUUUUUCAGUAAAUUUGUUAUGUCUAAUACGACAAAUAAAGUUUUAACCAAUAACCCUUGCAAUCGUCUCCUCUCUGACCUGCUCAGGAGCAUGACAUCAAUGGUUAAAUAACCUGCAACUCCGUUAUAAAUAGUACACAUCUGUUGC